RNAcentral lists this ribosomal RNA (468 nucleotides) under uncultured bacterium. Its description in RNAcentral is "partial 16S ribosomal RNA". It matches the Rfam family "Bacterial small subunit ribosomal RNA", at positions 28 to 507 of the family's 1533-position model. The record is from RNAcentral.
GACGAACGCUGGCGGCGUGCUUAACACAUGCAAGUCGAACGGAAAGGCCCUGCUUUUGUGGGGUGCUCGAGUGGCGAACGGGUGAGUAACACGUGAGUAACCUGCCCUUGACUUUGGGAUAACUUCAGGAAACUGGGGCUAAUACCGGAUAGGAGCUCCUGCUGCAUGGUGGGGGUUGGAAAGUUUCGGCGGUUGGGGAUGGACUCGCGGCUUAUCAGCUUGUUGGUGGGGUAGUGUCUUACCAAGGCUUUGACGGGUAGCCGGCCUGAGAGGGUGACCGGCCACAUUGGGACUGAGAUACGGCCCAGACUCCUACGGGAGGCAGCAGUGGGGAAGAGUGCACAAUGGGCGGAAGCCUGAUGCAGCAACGCCGCGUGCGGGAUGACGGCCUUCGUGUUGUAAACCGCUUUCGCCUGUGACGAAGCGUGAGUGACGGUAAUGGGUAAAGAAGCACCGGCUAACUACGUG